This 460-nucleotide ribosomal RNA is filed under the name uncultured bacterium. RNAcentral's name for it is "partial 16S ribosomal RNA". It matches the Rfam family "Bacterial small subunit ribosomal RNA", at positions 338 to 795 of the family's 1533-position model. The record is from RNAcentral.
CCUACGGGUGGCAGCAGUGGGGAAUAUUCCACAAUGGGGGAAACCCUGAACCAGCCAAGUCGCGUGCAGGAAGACGGCCCUAUGGAUUGUAAACCUCUUUUGCGGGGGAGCAAAAAGCGGUACGUGUGCCUCAUCGCAAGUACCCCAAGAAAAAGCAUCGGCUAACUCCGUGCCAGCAGCCGCGGUAAUACGGAGGGUACGGGCGUUAUCCGGAUUUAUUGGGUUUAAAGGGUGCGCCGGCGGCGCUGUAAGUCAGCCGUAAAAUUUCGGGGCUCAACCCCGGCAAAGCGGUGGAAACUGGCUGGCUAGAGUGGGCGAGAGGUAGGCGGAAUGCGUGGUGUAGCGGUGAAAUGCAUAGAUAUCACGCAGAACUCCGAUUGCGAAGGCAGCAUACCGGAGCGUAACUGACGCUCAGGCACGAAGGCGUGGGUAUCGAACAGGAUUAGAUACCCCAGUAGUC